GGGCCCGCACAAGCGGUGGAGCAUGUGGUUUAAUUCGAUGCAACGCGAAGAACCUUACCUGGGCUUGACAUCCUCUGCCAUAUUUGGAGACAAAUAGUUCUUUUCGGAGACAGAGUGACAGGUGCUGCAUGGCUGUCGUCAGCUCGUGUCGUGAGAUGUUGGGUUAAGUCCCGCAACGAGCGCAACCCUUGUCCUUAGUUGCUAACGAUUCGGUCGAGGACUCUAAGGAGACUGCCAGUGUUAAGCUGGAGGAAGGUAGGGAUGACGUCAAGUCCUCAUGGCCCUUAUGUCCAGGGCUACACACGUGCUACAAUGGUGACUUCAGAGGGAUGCGAAGCGGCGACGUGGAGCGAAUCUCAGAAAGGUCAUCUCAGUUCGGAUUGUAGUCUGCAACUCGACUACAUGAAGUUGGAAUCGCUAGUAAUCG
Molecule: ribosomal RNA, 427 nt
Filed under: uncultured bacterium
Lineage: Bacteria
Description: bacterial SSU rRNA
Rfam family: Bacterial small subunit ribosomal RNA
Source: RNAcentral